RNAcentral lists this ribosomal RNA (496 nucleotides) under uncultured bacterium. Its description in RNAcentral is "partial 16S ribosomal RNA". It matches the Rfam family "Bacterial small subunit ribosomal RNA", at positions 28 to 506 of the family's 1533-position model. The record is from RNAcentral.
GAUGAACGCUGGCGGCGUGCCUAAUACAUGCAAGUCGAGCGAACAGACGAGGAGCUUGCUCCUCUGACGUUAGCGGCGGACGGGUGAGUAACACGUGGAUAACCUACCUAUAAGACUGGGAUAACUUCGGGAAACCGGAGCUAAUACCGGAUAAUAUAUUGAACCGCAUGGUUCAAUAGUGAAAGACGGUUUUGCUGUCACUUAUAGAUGGAUCCGCGCCGCAUUAGCUAGUUGGUAAGGUAACGGCUUACCAAGGCAACGAUGCGUAGCCGACCUGAGAGGGUGAUCGGCCACACUGGAACUGAGACACGGUCCAGACUCCUACGGGAGGCAGCAGUAGGGAAUCUUCCGCAGUGGGCGAAAGCCUGACGGAGCAACGCCGCGUGAGUGAUGAAGGUCUUCGGAUCGUAAAACUCUGUUAUUAGGGAAGAACAAAUGUGUAAGUAACUAUGCACGUCUUGACGGUACCUAAUCAGAAAGCCACGGCUAGCUACGU